CUGUCUUUUUAGGGCCACACCCACGGCAUAUGGAAGUUACCACACUAGGGGUCGAAUCAGAGCAUAGCUGUCAGCCUACACUACAGCCACCACAGCACCACAAGAUCCGACCCCUGUCUGCGACCUACACCACAGCUCGCGGAAACGCCGGAUCCUUAACCCACUGAGUGAGGCCAGGGAUAGAAUUCAUGUCCUCAGGGACACUAGUCAGGUUUGUCACCACUGAGCCACAAUGGGAAAUCCUCUUUACAUCUUUAUCUUUCUAUCAAGGAGCUUGUGGGAUUUUUUUUCCUUUAUCACUGAAUUCAGGAAUUUUAUCAGAACAUGCCUAGCUUUGUGACUUUUCUCAUCAAUUUUGUCUGGAACCCAGUGAACUCAUUCAAUCUUCAAUUUUUGUUCGACUCAGGGAAAUUUUUUCUAUUACUUAUUUCUCCUUCUAAAAUUAUUAUUAUUUGCAUUUUUGGUUUCCUGGAUCUAUCCUGCAAGCCCAACUUUCAUGAGUUUCCAUUCCAACUCUUGGUAUUUUUGUUCUAAGCUUUGAAACUGUUAUUUUACUUGAACUGAGUUUAAAAAAAGAGAGGACAGAAGAGAUGUGCUCAAGCUGCCAUUUUCCCAGAAUCAUUUCAUAGAGGGAUGUUUAAAGGCUAUCUUAUCACUCAAAUAGGAGGGGAAAAUGUCUUUAAGUGCUCAAGAGAUAAUUACUUAAAAAUUAAUAUUUAAAAAUUAAAUUUAAAACCCAAAUAGCUAUUUGUUAGAAAUUACUGGAUUGAAAGCUCCUUGAAAGCAGAAAUCUGCCUUCUAUGCAUCUCUCACCCUCUCAACAGAUCUCGUUAAUAAAUGUGCUCAAUACAUCUUUAUUGAUAUAUUGAUAUACUGAGCAUCUUACAUGUUCCAAAAGGUUGAAACCUUGUCCCUAUACCCAGAAAAUCUAAAGUCUAACAAGGAGGCAAAAUAACUUAAAUGAAACAAAGAAAUAGCCAAUCAGUUAAGUCUUAAUGGUUACUGAAUACAAUAGCCUAAAAAUAGAAGAGAUUAAUAAGGACUAAAGUAGUCAGCUGGUUUCAUGACAAAAAGGACAUCAACCAGGGCACGAAACAGGGGUAAAUUUCAGUAGGAGAAAAGAAAAUAAUCACUGCAAAGGCACAGAGAUGGGAAUGAGCAAGUCAGGGAAAAGGGUGAGGAAACCAGUCUGUGAAGAAGAGUCUGUCAGCUUACUAGUACGGAAGAAUAUAGACAGGGCAGUUGAUGGUGGAGUUCAGAUUCAUUCACUUGUCAAAUAAGUACGGAAAAGCACUUAUGCUGAAGGAUGCUGCAUGCCAGCCUCAAGCAGCUUAAAAAAAUACUAAAAAAAAAAAAAAUAAAAAAAAAUAAUAAAGCAGCUUACAAAGAGAUAAGGAUACUUAUGCAAAUGAUCAUUUUAUAACCUUAAGAUCAUUGGAAAAAUAGCUAUAAUAUAGGAGUUACAUUAGAGACUAGAGCUCAGAGAACCGACAAAUGAGGAAGCUGUCUUUUUUAAAACAGGAAAUGCAUCUUCCAGGACUUCCCUUUGUCUCCUUGAAGAAAAAAGUAAGCAAAGAACCAUGGGAAGAAAACUCAUAUCAAUGCUUUUGCUAACAUGUUCAAUUCAAAAAUGAAAGUUUGGGAUUUCCCGUCAUGGCAAUGUCACAACGGAAACGAAUCCAACUAGUAUCCAUGAGGAUUCGGAUUCGAUCCCUGGCUUCACUCAGUCGGUUGGAGAUCCAGCAUUGCUGUGAGCUGUAGUGUAGGUUGCAAACUCAGCUUGUGUUGCUGUGGCUGUGGUGUAGGCCGGCAGCUCUGAUUCAACCCCUAGCCUGGGCACUUCCAUACGCUGAGAUGUAGCCGUAAAAAGACGUGACUAAAGAAAGAAAGAUUGAUUCUCCAAAUAAGAAAGGAAAUCCAAUAAACUAAGAAUGACAACUCUUUACAAUUUUAAGAAAAAAAAAAAAAACUGUAACUAUGUAUGGUGAUGAAUGUUAAUGAAAUUUAUUGAGGUGAUAAUUUCCCAAUGUACAGAAAUAUCAAGUGAUUAUGUUGUAUACCUGAAACUAACGAAAUGCUGUAUGUCAAGUACACCUCAAUCAAAAAAAGGAAAAAAAACUGAAAACAGCCUUCUUGCUUCUGUCACAGAUUUCUUAAACAAGAAAUUAUCAGGGGAGUUCCCGUCUUAGAGCAGUGGUUAACGAAUCUGACUAGGAACCAUAAGGUUGCGGGUUCGGUCCCUGCCCUUGCUCAGUGGGUUAACGAUCCGGCAUUGCCCUGAGCUGUUGUGGUGUAGGUUGCAGACUCGGCUUGGAUCCCGCGUUGCUGUGGCUCUGGCGUAGGCCAGUGGCUAUAGCUCCGAUUGGACCCCUAGCCUGGGAACCUCCAUAUGCCGAGGGAGCGGCCCAAGAAAUAGCAAAAAGCCAAAAAAAAAAAAAAAAAAAAAGAAAUUAUCAGAAACUUCUUCUAACGAUUCCUGCUGGGUUUGUUUUUUAUAAAGGAGAUUCAGUGACAAGACUGGCCAGCCCUGUGAUGCAUUUCAUACCUGACCUGAGUUAAAAGCCACAAGUUCCAAUCUAUGAAUAAAUUGAGACAUCAUAACCCAAGGUCCUUAAAAAGAAAAAAAUCCUACAGCUACUUUAAUCACUAAAAGCGAAAGUCCUCUGAAAAGAAAGGAAUAACAGAGCACUAUUCCUUCACAAAAAAAGACAUAACUCCAAGAAAAAUCAAUUAAAGUACAUGUCAUUUACAGAAAUAUCUACAUUAAACAUUAGUUUUUAUAAUGAACAUUAAAUAGCCUAAGGAAAAAAAGAAACAUUAAAACCUUUUUCUGAACCAGAAUAUAACUAUUAACACUCUAUCUGCAGUCCAGAACACACCGACCACCUUUCAAAGACACCAGACCUGUGGAUUUUCAUUUAGGGCUGUGCUGUGCAGCAUAUUUCCUUCUGGAUUCCCCCUUUUCAGUUUCUCAUCAUCCCCACCUCAAUUCAAGGAAGAAAAAUUAAUUUCACAUCAAAAUAUACGUACAGGAGUUCCCAUCGUGACUCAGAGGUUAGUGAACCCAACUAGCAUCCAUGAGGACACGGGUUUGAUCACUGGCCUCGCUCAGUGUGUUAAGGAUCCAGCUUUGCCGUGAACUGUGGUAUGGGUUGCAGAUGCAGCUCGGAACCCGAGUUGCUGUGGCUGUGGUGCAGGCCAGCAGCUGCAGCUCCCAUUCAACCCCUAGCCUGGGAACCUCCAUAUGCCACGGAGAAAGGCAGUGUGUACAAAGGUGUGGAAGUGAAAAAGCACUGUGUAUUCAGCAGAGUACAAGUCAUUCAGCACAGCUAAGGAGGAGAGCAAAAACCUGGAAGGCACAGGAAGUGGGGCUAAAAAGGCAGGCAGGGCUUGAUAUACAAAGGACGUUUGGAUUUUACCCUGUGGAUAAGAAAAGCCAACGAAAAAUUUUAAAUGGGAAAAAGGACUCAAUUAGAUCAGUGUUUUAGAAUGAUCAUUCCAUCAGAGACUACAGAAGGAUGAACUGGAGGGAGAAGAGACUGAAGGCAGGUGGACAAGUUAGACUACUGCAGUAGUCUUAGCAAAAGACAGUAAGAACCUGAACAAAGACUGAAACAACGUGAAUGGAAAGGAGGAAGUCGGAAACAACAGGACUGAGUGACCCUCUUAGAGGUGGACAUUCUGAAGCAGGGAGUAUUUCUGGAACAGGCUGAAACAAGGAGUAUGGUUUUGGACAUACUAAGUUAUAGCUGUCUGGGGGCGGGAAAUCAAUGGGACGUGGAGCAGAGAGGAGUCAGGGCCAGAGACACAGGCUAGGGAGCCAUCACCUCCCAGCCAUGAUAGCUGAAGCUCUGAGCACAGAUGAGAUUAUUCAGCAAGUGUAUGUAAAAUGAGGUGAAGGCUAAUGACAGGUAUCAGGAACACCCACACCAGGAGGAAGAGAGAGAAAAAGAAGGAACAGUUAGGGAGCUAGAAGGAAAUGACACCAUAGAAGCUAAAAAGGGAGGGAGUUUGAUAAAGAUAACAGUCCAUGGUGUCCAAUGUUGCAGAGAAAGAUGCUGUAUAUACAGUGGGCACUUUUCAGUCUGAAAUCAGAACUCACUGGUGGCCUCGGAGACAGUUGUUUUUCAAGGGCUUGAUGGGGCAGAAGCAAUGGACUGAGGAGUGAGCAAAGGUAGGAAAGAAGACAAAGGAAACUUAGGCUCUACUUUCUAGGAUCUAUGAGAGGAAGAGAACAAGAGCACACAAGAACAAACAGAUUCUAAUACAAGAUCAGUGUUUCAGAAUGGGAAGACACUUUUCUUACGAUGGGAGGAGCUUCCGUAUAUUUAUAGGCUGAAGGGAAGGAGCCAAGUGUUAAGUGAGAGGUUAAAGAUGAGAGGAAAAGACAAAAGACUACAAAUGAAUAGAUCAAUCAAUGAAGUAAGAUCCCAAGAUCCCAGAAGAGAAGGGAUGGGACUGAGAUCACAGUCAGGAGGAAGGUAGUUCUUCCUCUGAGAAAAGAAGGAAAGGGGCUAAGAGUGGGAACAGAUAGAGAAACGUUUGUGGGUGUAGAAGAGGAGGAAGCACAGGGAGUUUGGCUUUCUGUAAAAGCCAGUAAGAAUGAAAAGCAGUAAUAUGUAGACGGGGUUCUUAACUUUGCGUCACAGACCUUUUUAGGAAACUGAUGAAAGCUGGAGACUCUGCUCUCCAAAAAGGCACAUGAGCAGUCAAAAUUCUGCACAUAAUUUCACAGUCUCCAGGUCCACUGAAACCAGCCCAGGUAUCCAAAGAUUCUGUCAGCUGUGAUGCUAUGAAAUUCCACAGAAAUGGUCCUUCAGAAGACAUUUUGUUCACAGAAGAGCAUCCCCAGAAGAAAGUAACUUAUUCAUCAUAAAAACAGUUCCCACUGUGGCUCAGCGGGUUAAGAAUUCGACUAGUAUCCAUAAGGAUGUGGGGUCGAUCCCUAGCCUCAUUCAGUGGGUUAAGGAGCUGGCGUUGCGGUGAGCUGUGGGUGAGCUGUGGUGUAGAUUGCAGACGCAGCUUGGACCCUGCGCUGCUGUGGCUGUGCUGUAGGCUGACAGCUAUAGGCCCAAUUCAACCCCUAUCCUGGAAACUUCUAUAUGCCUGCCACAGGAGCAGCCCUAAAAAGAAAAAAACAAAGAGACAAACUAUUUGAUGUGCACAAAAGCACUAAGACACUAGGGAUAAAGGAUACAGGAGACUGUUCCUGCCUUGGAAAACAAAACUUGGAACUUAGAGACAAUGAAUGACAGAGUCUUGGAUUUAACAACAGCUUUAACUAAAAGUAGUAUUUAAAAAAAAAAAAAAAAAUUGGGGGAGUUCUCAUUGUGGCGCAACGGAAACAAAUCCAACUAGUAACCAUAAGGUUGCAGGUUCCAUCUUUGGCCUUGCUCAGUGGGUUAAGGAUCUGGCACUACUGUGAGCUAUGGUGUAGGUCACAAACACGGCUCAGAUCCCAUGUUGCUGUGGCUAUGGCACAGGUCAGCAGCUAAAGCUCUGACUCGACCCCUAGCCUGGGAAUCUCCAUAUGCCUUGGGUGCGGCCCUAAAAA
Molecule: long non-coding RNA, 5554 nt
Filed under: Sus scrofa (pig)
Lineage: Eukaryota; Metazoa; Chordata; Mammalia; Artiodactyla; Suidae
Description: lncRNA (ENSSSCG00030057042.1)
Source: RNAcentral